RNAcentral lists this ribosomal RNA (198 nucleotides) under uncultured bacterium. RNAcentral describes it as "partial 16S ribosomal RNA". It matches the Rfam family "Bacterial small subunit ribosomal RNA", at positions 328 to 539 of the family's 1533-position model. The record is from RNAcentral.
ACGCUCGACACCUACUGGAGGCAGCAGUGGGGAAUAUUGCACAAUGGGGGAAACCCUGAUGCAGCGACGCCGCGUGGAGGAAGAAGGUCUUCGGAUUGUAAACUCCUGUUGUUGGGGAAAAAAAGGAUGGUACCCAACAAGGAAGUGACGGCUAACUACGUGCUAGCAGCCGCGGUAAUCUGAGCGGGCUGGCAAGGC